RNAcentral lists this ribosomal RNA (505 nucleotides) under uncultured Acaulospora. Its description in RNAcentral is "SSU rRNA". It matches the Rfam family "Eukaryotic small subunit ribosomal RNA", at positions 569 to 1076 of the family's 1831-position model. The record is from RNAcentral. Lineage: Eukaryota; Fungi; Glomeromycota; Glomeromycetes; Diversisporales; Acaulosporaceae.
AGCAGCCGCGGUAAUUCCAGCUCCAAUAGCGUAUAUUAAAGUUGUUGCAGUUAAAAAGCUCGUAGUUGAAUUUCGGGAUUCAUCCGUUGGUCGGGCUUCACGGUCCGCACUGGUGUGAUGGGUUCCUACCUUCUGAAUAACCGGCAUGCCAUUAAUUUGGUGCGCCGGGGAAGCAGAACUAUUACCUUGAAAAAAUUAGAGUGCUUAAAGCAGGCAAGUGCCUGAAUAGGUUAGCAUGGAAUAAUAAAAUAGGACGGCAUGGUUCUAUUUUGUUGGUUUCUAGGAUCACCGUAAUGAUUAAUAGGGAUAGUUGGGGGCAUUAGUAUUCAAUUGUCAGAGGUGAAAUUCUUGGAUUUACUGAAGACUAACUUCUGCGAAAGCAUUUGCCAAGGAUGUUUUCAUUAAUCAAGAACGAAAGUUAGGGGAUCGAAGACGAUCAGAUACCGUCGUAGUCUUAACCAUAAACUAUGCCGACUAGGGAUCGGACGAUGUUAAUUUUUUAAUG